CCAAUCACUGACGUACGCUAGCACUGUCAUCACUAGCUCACGUCGUGCUCAUUCGUUCAGACCGUCUGACGAUCGACAACGUAGGAGAUAGGUAGCUGGGCGUCGUCGGUCGCCAUGCAUCUCCGCCCGUUGUUGUCGUUAGCUUGGCUGCUCGUAGCCGCGCUCUUCCUCCUGCAGAGCUCUCCGACCAGCAGCUCGUCGUCACCUCCACCGCCACCGCCACCACCACCACCAUCAGGUGCGGCAGCUGGUGAAGAUAACGGCGGUGGUUCGGCGAUCUGGGCUGGUGUUGUGGCGGCUGAUACAGGCGGCGGCGGAGGCGAGAAAGCGGCCCAAAGACGGUCUUUGCGGCGGGUGGGUCUACACCGGACGCCGCCGCCGCCGACGUCGAACGACGGUGGGAUAGAAUCUAUUUCGCCGCCUCCGCCGCCGGAGCAGGAUGGCCAGUUUUUCAGCUCUACGGGCUAUCCGACAAGGCCGCCGCCGGCGAGCUAGGAUCGGAGUUAGUUGGCUCGGUUAAUUAACCGACAUCAAACUAGCCUUCUUCCUGGGUGAUGAGUGAUGAGGCAAUGACUCCUCUGUUGCUGUUCGUCUCCGUAGUGUGUUCGUUCGUGCGUGCGUGUCAAUUCAAUUCGACGUUACUUUCUUCCAUCUUAAUUUGGACAUCAUGUAAUAAUUAAUGUUCGUCAAGGAGAAAUAAUCAGUGUUUACAGUUUUCAUGGAUGGAUGGCCGCGAUUUAAGUUAUUCGGCA
This is a long non-coding RNA of Oryza sativa Japonica Group (Japanese rice), 752 nucleotides long. RefSeq lists it as uncharacterized. The record is from RefSeq and is a predicted model, not a curated record. Lineage: Eukaryota; Viridiplantae; Streptophyta; Magnoliopsida; Poales; Poaceae.